Molecule: ribosomal RNA, 987 nt
Filed under: Plasmodium knowlesi
Lineage: Eukaryota; Apicomplexa; Aconoidasida; Haemosporida; Plasmodiidae
Description: SSU rRNA
Rfam family: Eukaryotic small subunit ribosomal RNA
Source: RNAcentral
ACAUAACUGAUGCCUCCGCGUAUCGACUUUGUGCGCAUUUUAGCUAUUAUGUGUUCUUUUAAUUAAAAUGAUUCUUUUUAAGAUUCAUCUAUUAAAAAUUUGCUUCGGCAUAAUUUUUUUUAAUGAUCUUGUUACUUUGAGUAAAUUAGAGUGUUCAAAGCAAACAGAUAUAGCAUUUGUGCGUUUGAAUACUACAGCAUGGAAUAACAAAAUUGAACAAGUCAGAAUUUUUUUGUUCUUUUUUCUUAUUUUGGCUUAGUUACGAUUAAUAGGAGUAGCUUGGGGGCAUUUGUAUUCAGAUGUCAGAGGUGAAAUUCUUAGAUUUUCUGGAGACAAACAACUGCGAAAGCAUUUGCCUAAAAUACUUCCAUUAAUCAAGAACGAAAGUUAAGGGAGUGAAGACGAUCAGAUACCGUCGUAAUCUUAACCAUAAACUAUGCCGACUAGGCUUUGGAUGAAAGAUUUUAAAAUAAGAGUUUUUCUUCUCUCUCCGGAGAUUAGAACUCUUAGAUUGCUUCCUUCAGUGCCUUAUGAGAAAUCAAAGUCUUUGGGUUCUGGGGCGAGUAUUCGCGCAAGCGAGAAAGUUAAAAGAAUUGACGGAAGGGCACCACCAGGCGUGGAGCUUGCGGCUUAAUUUGACUCAACACGGGAAAACUCACUAGUUUAAGACAAGAGUAGGAUUGACAGAUUAAUAGCUCUUUCUUGAUUUCUUGGAUGGUGAUGCAUGGCCGUUUUUAGUUCGUGAAUAUGAUUUGUCUGGUUAAUUCCGAUAACGAACGAGAUCUUAACCUGCUAAUUAGCGGCAAAUACGAUAUAUUCUUAUGUAGAAUUGAAUAUAGUGGAUUUGUUGGAUUUUGAAGAAAAUAUUGGAAUUACGUUAAAUGUGAUUCCUUUCCCUUUUCUACUUAAUUUACAUUUCCAUCUAUUUCUUUUUUGCGUAUGAAUGUAUUUGCUUGAUUGUAAAGCUUCUUAGAGGAACGAUGUGUG